Molecule: ribosomal RNA, 253 nt
Filed under: uncultured bacterium
Lineage: Bacteria
Description: partial 16S ribosomal RNA
Rfam family: Bacterial small subunit ribosomal RNA
Source: RNAcentral
UACGUAGGUGGCAAGCGUUGUCCGGAUUUACUGGGCGUAAAGAGCGCGCAGGCGGUCGUUCAAGUCGCGUGUGAAAGCCCCCGGCUCAACUGGGGAGGGUCACGCGAUACUGAUCGACUCGAAGGCAGGAGAGGGUAGUGGAAUUCCCGGUGUAGUGGUGAAAUGCGUAGAUAUCAGGAGGAACACCCGUGGCGAAGGCGGCUCUCUGGGCCGGCCCUGACGCUGAGGCGCGAAAGCGUGGGGAGCGAACGGG